RNAcentral lists this ribosomal RNA (711 nucleotides) under uncultured bacterium. RNAcentral describes it as "bacterial SSU rRNA". It matches the Rfam family "Bacterial small subunit ribosomal RNA", at positions 54 to 745 of the family's 1533-position model. The record is from RNAcentral.
CAUGCAAGUCGUGCGAGAACGGUUCCUUCGGGAACCAAGUAGAGCGGCGAACGGGUGAGUAAUACGUGAGCGAUCUGCCCGGAGGUGGGGGAUACCCCAGGGAAACCUGGACCAAUACCGCGUACAGCGUCGGGAGUGGGUGCCCGACGUGAAAGCCGGCCUCUUCUAUGCUGGCGCCUUCGGAUGAGCUCGCGGCCUAUCAGCUUGUUGGUGGGGUAAUGGCCUACCAAGGCUACGACGGGUAGCUGACGUGAGAGCGUGAUCAGCCACAUUGGGACUGAGACACGGCCCAGACUCCUACGGGAGGCAGCAGUGGGGAAUAUUGCGCAAUGGGCGAAAGCUUGACGCAGCGACGCCGCGUGGGGGAGGAAGACUCUAGGGUUGUAAACCCCUGUCAGGUGGGACGAACACCCUGUCGGAUAAUACUCGGCAGGACUGACGGUACCACCAGAGGAAGCUCCGGCUAACUCCGUGCCAGCAGCCGCGGUAAUACGGGGGGAGCGAGCGUUGUUCGGAAUUACUGGGCGUAAAGGGCGCGUAGGCGGCCUCGUAAGUCGGGUGUGAAAUGCCGGGGCUCAACCCCGUGCACUGCACCCGAUACUGCAUGGCUAGAGAAAGGUAGAGGCGAGCGGAAUUCCCGGUGUAGCGGUGGAAUGCGUAGAUAUCGGGAAGAACAUCUGCGGCGAAGGCGGCUCGCUGGGCCUUCUGACG